Molecule: ribosomal RNA, 254 nt
Filed under: uncultured bacterium
Lineage: Bacteria
Description: partial 16S ribosomal RNA
Rfam family: Bacterial small subunit ribosomal RNA
Source: RNAcentral
GACAGAGGGUGCAAACGUUGCUCGGAAUCACUGGGCGUAAAGGGCGUGUAGGCGGGACGGUAAGUCGGGCGUGAAAUCCCUAGGCUCAACCUAGGAACUGCACUCGAAACUACCAUUCUUGAGUGUCGGAGAGGAAAGCGGAAUUCCUGGUGUAGAGGUGAAAUUCGUAGAUAUCAGGAGGAACACCAGGUGGCGAAGGCGGCUUUCUGGACGGUAACUGACGCUGAGACGCGAAAGCGUGGGGAGCAAACAGG